Molecule: ribosomal RNA, 1461 nt
Filed under: metagenome
Description: bacterial SSU rRNA
Rfam family: Bacterial small subunit ribosomal RNA
Source: RNAcentral
AGAGUUUGAUCCUGGCUCAGAAUGAACGCUGGCGGCAUGGAUUAGGCAUGCAAGUCGAACGAGAUCUUCGGAUCUAGUGGCGAAAGGGUGAGUAACGCGUGAGCAAGCUGCCUCGAGGCUGGGGAUAGCCCCGGGAAACCGGGAUUAAUACCGAAUGUCCUCCUGAUCCGCAUGGUGAAGGAAGGAAAGAAUUUCGCCUUGAGAUGUGCUCGCGUCCUGUCAGCUUGUUGGUGAGGUAAUGGCUCACCAAGGCGACGACAGGUAGCUGGUCUGAGAGGAUGGUCAGCCACACUGGGACUGAGACACUGCCCAGACUCCUACGGGAGGCUGCAGUCGAGAAUCUUCCGCAAUGCGCGAAAGCGUGACGGAGCAAUGCCGCGUGCGGGAUGAAGGCCUUCGGGUCGUAAACCGCUGUCACUCGGGAUGAAGCAUGACAGUACCGAGAGAGGAAGCCACGGCUAACUACGUGCCAGCAGCCGCGGUAAGACGUAGGUGGCGAGCGUUAUUCGGAUUUAUUGGGCGUAAAGGGUCCGCAGGGGGUUUGUUAAGUCUGGUGUGAAAGCCCACGGCUCAACCGUGGAACGGCACUGGAUACUGGCAGACUAGAGGACUGGAGAGGAGAGUGGAAUUCUCGGUGUAGCGGUGGAAUGCGUAGAUAUCGGGAAGAACGCCGAAGGCGAAGGCAGCUCUCUGGACAGUUUCUGACCCUCAUGGACGAAAGCCGGGGGAGCGAACAGGAUUAGAUACCCUGGUAGUCCCGGCCGUAAACGUUGUAGACUCGGUGUAGGCGGUUUUGGUCCCGUCUGUGCCUUAGCUAACGCGAUAAGUCUACCGCCUGGGGAGUACGGCGGCAACGCUAAAACUCAAAGGAAUUGACGGGGGCCCGCACAAGCGGUGGAGCAUGUGGCUUAAUUCGAUCCACGCGAAGAACCUUACCUGGGCUUGACAUGCAGUGGAUCGCCGGCGAAAGUCGGUUUCUCUUCGGAGCUGCUGCACAGAUGCUGCAUGGCUGUCGUCAGCUCGUGUCGUGAGAUGUUCGGUUAAGUCCGGCAACGAGCGCAACCCUUGUCACCAGUUGCCAGCAAGUAAAGUUGGGGACUCUGGUGAGACUGCCCGUGUUAAGCGGGAGGAAGGUGAGGAUGACGUCAAGUCAGUAUGGCUUUUACGCCCAGGGCUGCACACGUGCUACAAUGGUUGGUACAAUGGGACGCAAUACCGCGAGGUGGAGCAAAUCCUUAAAGCCAACCCCAGUUCGGAUUGGAGUCUGCAACUCGACUCCAUGAAGUCGGAAUCGCUAGUAAAGGCGUAUCAGCUACGACGCCUUGAAUACGUUCCCGGGCCUUGUACACACCGCCCGUCACAUCAUGGAAGUUGGUUGUUCCCGAAGUCAGUGACCCAACCCGCAAGGGAGGGAGCUGCCGAAGGAAUGCCCAGUAACUAGGAUGAAGUCGAAACAAGGUA